AUUGAGGACAAAGUUUUAGGUGGACAGUCUGAACUGUGUGUGUCCUUAAUCAGUUAAAAGAAACCAAAAUGCCGUUAGCACUUUCUUCUUAGUUGUAGGGAUAUAGCUUUUUUUAAACUAUAAAAUUUAAAUGAACUAAAAGUAUGCAUUUUCUUACCCAUAAUUUAAAUGUUAUGAUAAAAUUCUGAUAAAAACAAUAUCUUAUUAAAAUAGCAAUAUUUUACAAAAAAAGAAACCCUUGAACUAAUUUCAUUUAAGUUAGAAGAUUUUUUUAAUACUAAAAUCUCAACAUGUGACAUUGAUUUAUUCAAAGGUUUUCUUUUGAGAGCCUUAUGUCUUUUGGACGGGGGGUGGGGGGUGGGGGGUUCUCUUUCCAUUUAUUUCUUAACCAGUUUUAUAGUUCACAGUUCAUUUUAGAUGCCAAACCAUUCUUUCCAAUGUGAGAGGAACCUGAACACACACUACUGUGACCAAAUUUCAGGAUUUAUGGAAGGUUAUAAGGAUCUCUAUGUGUAAAGAAACAAAGACCCUUUGUGCAAUUAUUGACCAGGAGGAGUCUGAGCAGCUCAGAUGAGAAGGAGAGUGAAUUUUCAUACUAUGUGCUUUCCUAAGAGCUUGAUCUGCCCAAAAUUUGUAGUUGAGUUUAAUUCAAUAUAAUUCCUUGUGGAAGUUUUGGAAAUUGUACUUUGGGAUUAACAGUUACUGUCAGUACUUCUGACUGAGCAUCACAUUGAUAGUAACCACAAGAGCAUAUUUUUAGGAAGCUUUCAGCAAACCUAGGACUUUUAUAAGAGAGUUUUUAACCUGAAGCUCAGAAAUGUCACCUAUGGUUUUCCUUUGAGAUGAAACCUAAUUUCUAAUUAUAUUAUUAUUAAAGGGCUUAAAAAUGCAUUAGCAAACUCUUCCUUUUAGUGCCAUUUACACACACAUGCAAACACAAACCCUUUACAUUUGGGGGGUUUAAAUAUAAUUCUUAAAUAGCUAUCUUCUUCUUCCUCUUCUAAAGAGUGUCUUACAUUUGUUACAUCAAAUAUAAUCAGAAUCAGAAUAUUUACAUAUACCCAAAUUAACUUAGGCUUAUAUAUUAGGAUGUAAGAAUAGCAUCUGUUUGUAAAUAUAUAAAGCCUCUUAAUGAUCUGGAAUUGUUUGAACAUUUGAUUUUUAUGCAGCAAAAUUUUUCAAACAAGUGGUUUGAAUCUGCUACUUAACUAUGUCCUGCUACUAUUUGUGAUGGAAUAUUAGCAAAUUUCAAAUAAUGUUUCUCUGUAACAGAGAACAUGAAUGGAUACCAGAAUUUUAUUUUCCUAACUAUGUGUGUAGUACUUUUCCUCAGUUCUCUAUGCCAGGCAGUCAUUCCAUAAAUUAUCUUAUACAAUUAAAAUUAAAAAAAUAAAAAAUAAAAAAAGAAUAGCAGGAAAAUGUGAAAAUAGUUUCAAUAUAUUUUAGAAUUUCCGUAUGUAAAAUGUUUUGUUUAAUUGUAUGACUAUCAUGACUAAGUCCUGUAUUUUAUAGUUAUAGAUUGGUUUCUUUUUAAGUGUGAAAACUUAAUCUUAAACAUUUUUAAACUGGACCUGUACUAUCCUGAAUAUAAUAUUUUAAAAUUAAAAAAAAUGACUUCUUUAUUGUUCUAUAGAAUACUUUCAUAUCUAAUUAAUGUAUUAAUUGGUUUAUAUUUGAAUGAAUUCAAUUAUAAUUUAAGCCUGAAGCUUCAUUUCAUCUUGUUACAUCCCUUUCAGAAGAUUGCCUCAUCUCCUUAUGUAAAUCACAUGAUUCAUGCCCAUAAAUGAGCCAUGGAAGAUAGAGAACAUUUUAUAUUGCAAGUCAUAGUUAGAUAUAUAAUAUCAAAAUAGUGGUCUUUUCAAAAUUCACAUCAAAAACAAAAUUUGUACUUUUUUAGUAGAUUAAUAUAAUUUGUUUACUUUGGGAAUUAUAUCUCAACCUAUAAAAUUAAGGAUUAUUUUAAUAGAUGCUGAAAUUGAAGAGCAAACUAAAGAUACUCAAUAGAUUUAUGGAAUUUCCUGUAAGAUAUAUGAAUUUCACAUAAAAAUAUAUCAUCAAAAGUAUUUUCAUUUAAGAUUUUUUUAGUGGCACGAUUUUUAAAAAUGUUUUAGAGUUAGUAUUUAACUAAGACAAGAUAAUGUCAUUUAGGAGAAUGAUUUUUAUUUAGCACAGUAAUACAUUUUAUUUUUGUGUUCUUAUAGCAUAUCAGCUCUAUCCAUCUUCCUUACCUGAGAAUUUAGUAUUUUUUGAGCAGUUCAAGGAGUAACCAAGGCAACCUUAUGAAUAACUUUCUAUUCUUCAUCCAUAUAAACACUAUCACUGCCCUAGAUUGUGAUGUUAUUAAAUGUCACUGCGUAACAUAACUGUGAUUCAAGUCCAGUGACUCUGUAUUUUGCCUUAUUGAAUGCAAGUUAAAUGCUUAGGUUUACCCAUCUCCCUAAUGAAUAGUUCAUUAAUUGAUAAGGUUAUUUUUCAAAUAAUUUAAAACCUCUACGGUCCAUCUAUUCACUUGUGAUUUGUAGGCUAUAUAGUUACUGCAUAAUACAUCUAAUCUGAGAGGCAAAAUAAAAUUUCAACAAAUACUGUCAUGCCCAUUUUUCUCUUCCAUUUACACCAAUGCAGUAGAACAUACCAUUGUGUUUUAAACACUGGUUCAUCUUUUCAUAGGGUUUAUUGCCCAAUUACUGUUUGUGUUUUCCAUCAAGCCUUGGGUAUUUCAAGGAAGGUCUUUCAUCAGUCUUCUCUGUGUGUCCCUAUAAGCAAUAAAUUUACAGUGUUUUCUCUGCUUGGUUCACUAGUAGGCCCCUCAAGGAAGUCGCAUAGCCCUCGGGAAAUUUCAGUCCAAGAUAGAACUUUGCAAACUCCCCUCACCACCACCUGCCAGCCAGAAACUGUUUAGCUCCAACAGUGAACUACUGCUGUUCCCUUAGUUAAGAUUACAUUCAGAAGUUUUGUUUAAGAUGGAUUGGGUCCUUGAGAGGGCAUAGCUUUGUGAUGUAGCUCUGAUUGGGGGGGGGCAAGGGGGCAGUUUGCAAAAACUGUCAUUGGUAACUAAAUCCACCAUAUAUUUUUUUCCAUUGCAAAAUUCCCAAAGAACACUGACUGCUGUCUUUAUUUUAAAAGACUGUGAUUCAAAAUGUAAUCAGGUUUUAAGGAAGAUAAUAGGCAAUCAGGAGGUGAAAAGUAUUAUAAGCAAACCUAUGGCUAAGCCCCACCAGGAAAGUAGUCUCCAUUCACGCUGAAAUCUGCACCACCCUAUUCUCCAUCCAGCUGGGACAGAGCAUGACAUUUUCCACUAGGGCCAUGAGUAUAGCUCUGAAGCAGCCAGAUGUCAAUAUAAGUACUUUCCUGCCUUCACAUUGAACUGUGACUAGUAGUUCUGGUUCUAUUGUUUGUUUGUCCGUUAUUUAUACCUUAGAUCCUUAACCUCAUCCCUCUUAGGGCUUGCUAAAAAAGAGUCAUUAAUUUAGUUGUGAGGUGACUGUGAAGAAAUCACUUUAGGAAACUGUCUUUUGACACAUUGCCAACAUGGGGUAUAGAUAUAUGUGUUAAAGACAAAGAAUAGCUCUGCAAUUAGGUGCUCACUUGCAGGCAGGUCUUUUUGUGAGGUUUAGUUGAAAACGUAAUUAUUAAGAAAGUGGUGCAAAGCAAAUUCAAACAAAUUCCAAGUCUAGCUUGAAAAACUGAAAAGGUUCUUAAGUUCUGUCUGAUGCAUAAAGGGGUAGAAGCAAAGGAAUUACAUUCCAAAGCCAAGAAAGAGGGUGUACAAAAGCAGCUGAUCCACUUGACAUAGUUCAUAGCCUUUUGCAAAGGAAUAAAAGCCUGUUGAGCAGGGAACCAAAAGAUCUCAUUAUAGGAUGAAGCCAAGCCAUAUUAAAGCUUGUGCACUAGUAACUAUGUCUAAAAACAGCCUGCUGUUUUAUAUUGAACCAAUACAUUUCUUAACUUGGUAGGUUGCAGCGUAAAGAUGUACAGAGCCUGUCUGCUGGAUGCUAUGCCAAUUACAGAUGUGGCAGAGUGGUGUCAAACACCUACAAACAGUUAGUAUUGCAAGCAAUCUUAGAGUGAAACAAAAGAAGUUUUGAAAUGUCACCUCAAAACCUAGAGAGCACAGUUCAUCAUGUGUGUCUGACUCUUAAAGUUUUGAAAUCGCUUUUAUUAUAUAAUUUAAUUUGGACAUUGUAUGAUCCCUUAAUCAGAAUGCACCUUUCUUUUAAGAACAUGAAUAGUGCCUGAGAGAUAAGGAGAGUAUCUUUUAAAAGUAACACCUUCAGAUGACAAGGUAUCUCUGAUCAGCUCUGCAGAAACUGUUUCAUUGGUGCUGGAGUGAAGGAAGAGUGAAAUACUAAAGAAUACAUAUUAGACUUUGUUAGAUCAUCAGAAAGAAUAAUUGGACAUAUUUACACAAUUACAUUUUAGUAAACUAUUAUGCCCGAUUAACUAUAAUACAUAUUCUGAUAAAAGUACAUUAAAUUGCAAUCCAAAAGCAAUUUAGCUGCUGAGGACAUUAUUUUUUAUCUAAUUAUUCACAAAUUAAUGAAUAAAAUUAAAUUCCAAUCACUGAAGAAAAUGAAGAAAUGGUGAGAAUCGGAACUACAGGUUAGUUAAAGCAAAGAUAUGCAAUGCAUAACAGAAUUAAAGCAUUUCUUUUAUUCAAACUCGGUGCUUAAAAAAGAACAAAUCCAUCAUCUUGAAAUUUGACUUGUAGCUUGACAUUAAAAAUAAUAUGAGUAGAAUUUUCAGUGGGGUAAGCACAAAACUAGUUCAAGUUGUGUCACUCUCAAUUACUGUACUCAGGUGGUGUACCCAUUAAAAUUCCCACUUGUGGGUUCCGCUCACUAUGCAAAUGGGGUCAUUACCUGGAGAAUUUAAUUGGUUAUGACACUGGGAGUAGGACUUUUCCUUUCAAAAUAAACCUACUUACACACAUUUUCACUAGAAAUUUGAUUGUUAUAUAUACUUUGGUUUGUUUUGCUCUAUAAAUAUUUACUAAAAUUAGCCUGCCUUACUUAUUUACCUCCUACGAAUAAUUCAAAAUAGAUCCAAAUGACUUUGGUUUGGUUUUAUUUGUCUAUAAUACUAGUUGGAAUGAAUAUUUUUUUAAAAAAUUGCUCAUGACAACAUUAGUAAAAUUGUUUGUACCUUUUAAAC
RNAcentral lists this long non-coding RNA (5151 nucleotides) under Marmota monax (woodchuck). The record is from RNAcentral. Lineage: Eukaryota; Metazoa; Chordata; Mammalia; Rodentia; Sciuridae.